GAUGAACGCUGGCGGCGUGCCUAAUACAUGCAAGUCGAGCGAAUGGAUUAAGAGCUUGCUCUUAUGAAGUUAGCGGCGGACGGGUGAGUAACACGUGGGUAACCUGCCCAUAAGACUGGGAUAACUCCGGGAAACCGGGGCUAAUACCGGAUAACAUUUUGAACCGCAUGGUUCGAAAUUGAAAGGCGGCUUCGGCUGUCACUUAUGGAUGGACCCGCGUCGCAUUAGCUAGUUGGUGAGGUAACGGCUCACCAAGGCAACGAUGCGUAGCCGACCUGGGAGGGUGAUCGGCCACACUGGGACUGAGACACGGCCCAGACUCCUACGGGAGGCAGCAGUAGGGAAUCUUCCGCAAUGGACGAAAGUCUGACGGAGCAACGCCGCGUGAGUGAGGAAGGCUUUCGGGUCGUAAAACUCUGUUGUUAGGGAAGAGCAAGUGCUAGUUGAAUAAGCUGGCACCUUGACGGUACCUAACCAGAAAGCCACGGCUAACUACGUGCCAGCCGCCGCCGUAA
RNAcentral lists this ribosomal RNA (515 nucleotides) under uncultured bacterium. RNAcentral's name for it is "partial 16S ribosomal RNA". It matches the Rfam family "Bacterial small subunit ribosomal RNA", at positions 28 to 523 of the family's 1533-position model. The record is from RNAcentral.